CGGAAGUACAUUUAUGCAGACGAUACUGGAUGAGCCUUUCAAUUAUUUUUGUGUAGUUUAUUUGACCAUAAUGGAGAACUGACGCAAUGAAGACAAUGCAUACAGUUAAUCUGCUAUGUGACGAAAGUGAGGAUGUCAACUGUCCCCGUUACUAGAGUAACAGAGAAAACAAAAGAGGAAGACAACCACCAUUUGAGAAAGAAAGUGAGGAAAUGGGGGAACCUAUUCCUGCAGUAUAGAAUCAACCCUGCCAUAAUAACUCCAUGUCAGUUGCUGCAGGCUUCAACAUUGAUACAGAUGCCAUUUUGGAAACUGUGACAAAAAACUGAGUUUGCCAUCUUAACUAAGAAAGAAGUGAAAAACUGUUCCUGUAUAGGGAAGGCUAAACCCAAACCAGAUGCAAAAAAUGGCAUGUUGCCAUUUAGCAAUUUGACACACUGUAUUUUUUGUUGGGUAUUCAUAAAUUUCUUUGAUAGUUCCAGUAUCUGUGUUUCAUAUUCUUGUAUUGCAAAACAAUUCCAAACAUUCAUGAAGAGUUUCUGAGUUGUCAUGAACAAAUAGUCACAUUGAUUUUAUUUGGUUCAAGAACAGUUUUAGAAGAUUUCAUGAACAUGUACAUUCAUGAAAUAUCUACCCAUGAACAGAAAUCAUAAACUCAAAUAUUCAUGAAUAGUUCAUGGCUGCAUUAGUUCAACAAUUGUUUAUGAACUUAUUUUUUCAUGAUUUUUUGUGAAAUGGUCCAUUUAACGUUCAUGAAUAGUUCAUGCACUUGGUUCAUGAACAGUUCAAGAAAAGAACAUGAAUCAUUCAUGAACGAUUCAUAAUUAUUUCGCAGGGGAUUUGUCUGGCUGGAUUCUAACAUUUUUUUAUAUAUAAUUUUGUUGUAAUACUUGGUAUUAUUAUUGCUAGGCCCAAAGCUCAAGAUAUAUAUCUAAGAAUAUGUUUAUAAUGUUUUUGUUUUAUUUAUGCAUCUAAUCUUAUAAAUAAAUUUUGAAUAAUGGUAUGCUAAUGAAACCUCCAAAUUGAAUAAUACUAAAACUGUUUUUUUUUAGGAUUUUUUCAAAUGUAGAAAUGCAGACAGCUCUUCACCAUCAACUGUGACACUUUGUGUUAUUGUGUACAUAUGAAACUAAAUAACU
This is a long non-coding RNA of Mya arenaria, 1139 nucleotides long. RefSeq lists it as uncharacterized. The transcript has 3 exons. The record is from RefSeq and is a predicted model, not a curated record. Lineage: Eukaryota; Metazoa; Mollusca; Bivalvia; Myida; Myidae.